UCCUAAUAUAUAUGCAGGACGUUAAUUUAAUCAAAAGACAACAUGUACAGUCGAAACAUCGAGCAACUCUUUGUAGGUCCCUAAGGACCUUCUCACGAAUCUAACGUCAUCGGCACUGUCACUCAUCGGAGGGUUAAAACUAUGUGUGAAAAC
Molecule: long non-coding RNA, 153 nt
Organism: Rhagoletis pomonella (apple maggot)
Lineage: Eukaryota; Metazoa; Arthropoda; Insecta; Diptera; Tephritidae
Exons: 3
Source: RefSeq, a predicted model, not a curated record